Molecule: ribosomal RNA, 433 nt
Filed under: uncultured bacterium
Lineage: Bacteria
Description: partial 16S ribosomal RNA
Rfam family: Bacterial small subunit ribosomal RNA
Source: RNAcentral
AACGAACGCUGGCGGCAUGCCUAACACAUGCAAGUCGAACGAAGGCUUCGGCCUUAGUGGCGCACGGGUGCGUAACGCGUGGGAAUCUGCCCUUUGGUUCGGAAUAACAGCUGGAAACGGCUGCUAAUACCGGAUGAUGACGAAAGUCCAAAGAUUUAUCGCCAGAGGAUGAGCCCGCGUUGGAUUAGGUAGUUGGUGGGGUAAAGGCCUACCAAGCCGACGAUCCAUAGCUGGUCUGAGAGGAUGAUCAGCCACACUGGGACUGAGACACGGCCCAGACUCCUACGGGAGGCAGCAGUAGGGAAUAUUGGACAAGGGGCGCAAGCCUGAUCCAGCAAUGCCGCGUGAGUGAUGAAGGCCCUAGGGUUGUAAAGCUCUUUUACCCGGGAAGAUAAUGACUGUACCGGGAGAAUAAGCCCCGGCUAACUCCGUG